Long non-coding RNA from Anopheles merus, 1854 nucleotides. RefSeq lists it as uncharacterized. The transcript has 2 exons. The record is from RefSeq and is a predicted model, not a curated record. Lineage: Eukaryota; Metazoa; Arthropoda; Insecta; Diptera; Culicidae.
CUCCAGCAGCUAAUAUCGGUAGGCAGAAGGGGUGGAUUGAAAAGUAACCCAGCAAAGCGUAAUAAUUGCACAAAAAAUGACCUCCAAUGUAUAUUUGUAUAUCGGUCGUUGAUUUUUUCAUUUAAUAAAUCAAAAACAGAUUUAUUUUUGUUUCAUACAAAACACCCCACAAACCACACACCCACAUAAGAUGCGUUGCAAAACAAGAAGAACGUUGAUGAAUGGGACAAAUCAUCGAGAGCCAGUCGUGCUUGUGCCAGUUCGUGCACGUAGCCAGAAAAGAGACAACCCAGGCGAGCCGGAGAAGACACGCGGGUCUACGUGACGUAGGGGAGUGCGUCCAAAAACGGAAGGCCGACAAACCGGGCCGAGCCGAAAACAUAGCGAGCAGCAUAACCGCGGCAGCCCCGCACCCCGCCGCUCGCUGCUCUUUGUCCUUUUACUCGCACGGUGGGAGAAAAAAAAGGUCGACCGCGAUUGUGUGUAAAAGCGAGACCGAGCAUCACAUCGCACCGGUUUAUCAAGAAACCGCGCCCGCUGAAACGGAGCAUGCUGCGAACUGCUCACUCGAAGGCGCGAGAGCGAGAUAGCCACAGUACGCGCAGUUAUUAGUGGUGUUUUGUUUUGAUCCGUACGCACGGCGGCCAGACUGCUGCGUGCUCGCUAUGCUGUAGCAUAUAAACACACACACACACACACACACGCACACAUUUACGAGUCGAGUUGAGUUGAUUGCAAUCGCACCCCGAAAACGAUGGCACUUUCUUUCGUAACACAGUUUCCACCACUAAAAAAAAAGCGAAGAAAACCAACAACAAGUGAAACAGUGAUCGCUUUUUGGCCGUGGCGCUUUUAGGGGUGGCCCGUGCGGGCGCUACCAGCGGCCAUUGACUUUUAGUGUGACCCACGUAUUGCACGUUAAUUUUCAAGGAUCGCGAUCUUUACCCACCACUCGCUGACCCUCACUUGCUGUCCACACGAUCGUCCAUAAUUUUGCAAACACAUGCCGAUUCUUCACGCCUCCGCAACGCAACGACGCGCAUCGCGAAUGCAGCGGACCCCGAGAUGCAGCCAAGUUUCACCGGCCUAUGAGGUGCGUGCAUGUGCCUGCCCGAUAGACGACCAAACAACAACAAUAGCAAUAGCAACAGCAAAGCACUUGGAGCUUGAGCGUUGAGCGUUUUAAAAGCGAAACUUUACGAUGGUUCAGCAGGCAUCGAGGCAAUGAGCAGAGGGAAUAUGGUUUUACAUAUAAUUUAAUGCCCUUUUAGCUGUGGCUGGUUUUACUACCGUUUCGAACAUCUUUACAACCGAGCCCGGGCUUAGACACGCGGCAGGACUAGCGGCAAGGGAAGGCAUAUGUGUCGAUUUGUAGGGAUUUAUCUUACCGCUGGAUAGUUCUCUGGAUGGCCGAAGGGACAACCUUCAAGAUUAUUCUCCGACCAACGCGCAGCAAGUGGCGAGAAGAGGCUCGCUUAAAUAUCAUCCAGUACCAGCUUCGCGUCCUGUAUGCAAUCGAAUGCGAGAUUGUGGAUCGUAAAAUUCAACUGACCAUCGGAACUAAUUGACUCAGAUUGUCGACCAUAAUGCCCAGGCCAACGGUAUGCUUUGGGGUAGAGUUCGUGUCAUUAUCAUUUGGGUAGGAGAUGGGUGAUGUUUGAGAGCCGAAACAGAGAUGCCGAAUACUCACUCUGUUCAAUUCUCAGGGCAAAAGAGACGAUAUGGAGAAUUGAAUCUUUAAGUCGCUCUUUAUCAAAUCCAUUAGCAAAUCAUGCACUACAAAUAGCCUCAUUCUCUGUGACACUUUCUGGAUUCUUUUCCCUGAAUAAAUGUAAAAAGCGAAUCUCAAACAAU